Paramisgurnus dabryanus is the source of this 424-nucleotide long non-coding RNA. RefSeq lists it as uncharacterized. NCBI's taxonomy places the organism in Eukaryota, Metazoa, Chordata, Actinopteri, Cypriniformes, Cobitidae. The record is from RefSeq and is a predicted model, not a curated record.
UACGCUGACGUCACGCAUCUGAGCCUCCGGUGGGAGGAAACCCGGAAGUAUCGCCGUGAAUCACAUGAGAGUUGUGAAUGCGAUGUUGUGUAUUAGGCUGUACAUAAUAUUAACGGAAAGAGAGUGAUAAUAUAUAACCUUUCAUCGCUUCCGAAGUGACUAAAAGGGAUAUUGGACCUUAUUUUCAGAUUACAGACAACACGAGAGGGUGCUUCAAACUUUUUAAUCAGGACUGCAUUGUUUGUUCGCUCCCGGGGUUACAUAGACUGAAACGAGGAAGUGUGACGAGUUUGUUUACAUGGUGCUGUAAACUUCAACCCAGGAGGACACUUCAAAGGAAUCAAGGUGUCUGUGAUAUUGAAACACUAAAGGAAGAAGAGGAGGACCACCAUUCGUUUCCUGAGCAGAAAAAAAAAUAAGCAUG